UUGCAUAAAUGGUAGAGAUUUUAUUGUAUUUCAUAUGAUCAGUAGAAUAAUUCGGUCUAUAAGAACCAAUUGUUUCUAAAGUAAACAGCAAAGAACUUAAUAAUUAGUACCUGAGAUCUUAAGUUCUAACUCCACUUAUUCACAGAAUCACAGUUCCAAUUAAAUUCAUUUAUAAAAAAUAAUAAACAAAACAAAUAGCAUAUUACUUUUCUUUUAAUAAAAAAAUAAUUAAUUUAUAAAAAAAUUCUACAAACUGGGCCGUAAAAAAUUCGAUUUGUUCAAAUCAAGCUCAU
RNAcentral lists this long non-coding RNA (293 nucleotides) under Ananas comosus (pineapple). RNAcentral describes it as "long non-coding RNA (ACOM_LNC020539)". Lineage: Eukaryota; Viridiplantae; Streptophyta; Magnoliopsida; Poales; Bromeliaceae. The record is from RNAcentral.